AUUGAACGCUGGCGGCAGGCCUAACACAUGCAAGUCGAGCGGAUGAAGGGAGCUUGCUCCUGGAUUCAGCGGCGGACGGGUGAGUAAUGCCUAGGAAUCUGCCUGGUAGUGGGGGAUAACGUCCGGAAACGGGCGCUAAUACCGCAUACGUCCUGAGGGAGAAAGUGGGGGAUCUUCGGACCUCACGCUAUCAGAUGAGCCUAGGUCGGAUUAGCUAGUUGGUGGGGUAAAGGCCUACCAAGGCGACGAUCCGUAACUGGUCUGAGAGGAUGAUCAGUCACCCGGGAAGUGAGACACGGUCAAGACUACUAAGGGAGGCAGCAGUGGGGAAUGUUGGACAAUGGGCGAAAGCCUGGUACAGCCAUGCCGAGUGUGUGAAGAAGGUCUUCGGAUUGUAAAGCACUUUAAGUUGGGAGGAAGGGCAGUAAGUUAAGACGUUGCUGUUUUGACGGUACCAACAGAAGAAGCACCGGCUAACUUCGUG
RNAcentral lists this ribosomal RNA (484 nucleotides) under uncultured bacterium. RNAcentral's name for it is "partial 16S ribosomal RNA". It matches the Rfam family "Bacterial small subunit ribosomal RNA", at positions 30 to 507 of the family's 1533-position model. The record is from RNAcentral.